RNAcentral lists this long non-coding RNA (1858 nucleotides) under Homo sapiens (human). RNAcentral describes it as "HSALNT0056463". The record is from RNAcentral. Lineage: Eukaryota; Metazoa; Chordata; Mammalia; Primates; Hominidae.
GUGAAAAUACUCACUUAUUAAAUAUACUGAUGGAAAAUACAACCACUCAUCAUAGUGGUGCCCUUUUUUUCUAGAUGAUCAUAAUUAAUCAAUUACAAAUUUAUGAGAAAGAAACACCUGGCACACUUCCAUAAACAAAUAGAUUUCCUGUGGUUUUAAGAACAGUUGAGGGUAUUACAAAGGGUCAGGGCGAUCUGUGAGUAAAGCUCUUUUCACAGUUUGACUUCCCCCACAUCCCUGUUUCUCAUAAAUAUGCACCCUUACACCCAACAUACAUGUAUGUAUUUACUUACUCAGCAGGCACAUGUUGCAAAGGCUAUGGAGAAACAAAGAAUGUAAAGGAGAAAGAGAAAAAUUGAACUUAAAAACAUAUGCAUAUUUAAAACAUUGUGUUUUUAAAAAUAUAUUUUUCAAAGGACCAUAAGUCUAAACCAAAGAAGAUGAAAAAUGGAAGUUUUAUGAGUAAGAAAGAUACAGCUUAAUGCCUCCAACUGAGGUGAUUUUAUCCUACAAGUUAGUGCCGGCCAUCGGUGUUGGAUCCAAGGCACUGAUAAAAGAAGGAUGCUCCGAUACUUCCUUCAGCUGCUCUUCCAGACCUACUUUCUCACCCUUGACUACAAUUUUGUGGAAGAAUCUACUGAGGCUCUUGCAGUUCUCUGCUCUUCUUUUCUGAAAUAGAGACCUCAAGAACAAAGAGAACUCCAGUCAUCUCUUCUAUAAGUUCUGGCUGUAGUCCAAAAGUUCAAAGGAACGGUGGAAGGAAAGAAGGAAGGAAGGAAAGAAAGAAGGAAGGAAGAAAGGAAGGAAGGAAAAGAAGGAAAGACAUGCCCUCUCUCUUCAAGGUAGAAAGGACUCCCUAAAGCUUCUACACAAUAUACAUUCUCUUACAUCUUAUUACCCAGAAAGUACUUACAUGGUUACACGUAGCUGCAGAGAAGGCUGGAAAAUAGCUUCAUUCUGGAUGGCUUUAUCCUCAUGUAUAAGUUGUAGGAGGAGAAAAGAUUUUCCUUGCCCCUGUGAGGGUACCUGGCUAGGUCUACAAGGCAAACUAACAGAUAAAUUAUCAGGAGAAAAACUUUCAGAUUUUAAAAAGCACGUUUUAUGCCACACAGGAAUUUUCAUAAGGAAAUAAGAAUCCAAAUAAAUGGUUAAAUUUGUGAGUUUUUAUGCAAGGUUUAAUGAAGAAGGAGGCAGUCUUGGAGAAAUAGGACUGGACAAAGGGGUUAUGAUCUAAUGAUGAUAAACGGAAGGAAUCCUACCAAGGCUGUGUGUUCAGAUUCUCUCUGUGUCCCUGUGUCUUCAGAGAUAUGGAUAUUCCUUUUCUCUAAGUAUAGGAGGGCACUUCUCAAAUGAAGAUCUUAUGACUUGCUUCCAGGGAGAAGGGUUGGGGAAUGUGAGACUGACCUUCCUGUUUCUGCUUUUUUCUCAAAUGCCAAGAUGUCAUAUUUUGGGGUCGUAUGUCCUGAACCCUUUCAAAAUCAAUAUAGAUUAAAAACAAUAAUAUUUUAGGGGAUUUAAUUAGUGGCCUCUAAUAUCUACUAUCUUGUCAAUUAUAGCUUUAACAAUUUUCACGUCUCUUUUCUCUCUCCAUUGCCUUUACAACUGCCUUGAUUUAAUGUAUCACCAUCCCAGAAAGCAAAUGCAAAGAAAUUUGGUCUCAGCAUUGCAGAUAAAGUCAGCUUUCUAGAACACAUACCUAAUCAUUAACUUAUCAGCUAAAAAUCCUUCCUUAAAUCUUUCGUGCUGUAACUUCUAUAUUUCUUAUUAUAAAGGGCAAAAAUUGCCCUCUGCAAUACAAACUGAACCUCAUUACAUAGCCUUACCUCCCAAGAGUCUGUGACUUGUCUUCUAGCCACGU